RNAcentral lists this ribosomal RNA (798 nucleotides) under uncultured Actinomycetes bacterium. Its description in RNAcentral is "bacterial SSU rRNA". It matches the Rfam family "Bacterial small subunit ribosomal RNA", at positions 69 to 873 of the family's 1533-position model. The record is from RNAcentral. Lineage: Bacteria; Bacillati; Actinomycetota; Actinomycetes.
CUCGGGAGGGGUAACCCUUCCGAGGGGAGAGCGGCGAACGGGUGAGUAACACGUGGGCAACCUGCCCCGGACACCGGGAUAACUCAGGGAAACCUGGGCUAAUACCGGAUACCUCGGCGUGAUCGCAUGGUCGUGCCGGGAAAGCUCCGACGGUCCGGGAUGGGCCCGCGGCCUAUCAGCUUGUUGGUGGGGUAACGGCCUACCAAGGCGGCGACGGGUAGCUGGUCUGAGAGGACGGCCAGCCACACUGGGACUGAGACACGGCCCAGACUCCUACGGGAGGCAGCAGUAGGGAAUCUUGCGCUAAUGCGCGAAAGCGUGACGCAGCGACGCCGCGUGCGGGAUGAAGGCCCUCGGGUCGUAAACCGCUUUCGGCAGGGACGAAGCGAAAGUGACGGUACCUGCAGAAGAAGUCCCGGCUAACUACGUGCCAGCAGCCGCGGUAACACGUAGGGGACGAGCGUUGUCCGGAUUCAUUGGGCGUAAAGCGCGCGUAGGCGGCUCGGAAAGUCGGUCGUGAAAUCCUGGGGCUCAACCCCGGAACUGCGUCCGAUACUCCCGAGCUGGAGGCAGGUAGGGGAGAUCGGAAUUCCUGGUGUAGCGGUGAAAUGCGCAGAUAUCAGGAGGAACACCGGUGGCGAAGGCGGAUCUCUGGGCCUUGCCUGACGCUGAGGCGCGAAAGCUAGGGGAGCGAACAGGAUUAGAUACCCUGGUAGUCCUAGCCGUAAACGUUGGGUGCUAGGUGUGGGCGGAUAUCGACCCCGUCCGUGCCGAAGCUAACGCAUUAAGCACCCCGCC